UACGUAGGGGGCAAGCGUUGUCCGGAAUCAUUGGGCGUAAAGCGCGCGUAGGCGGCCCGGUAAGUCCGCUGUAAAAGUCCAGGGCUCAACCCUGGAAAGCCGGUGGAUACUGUCGGGCUUGAGUACGGGAGAGGCGAGUGGAAUUCCUGGUGUAGCGGUGAAAUGCGCAGAUAUCAGGAAGAACACCCGUGGCGAAGGCGGCUCUCUGGGACGGUACUGACGCUGAGACGCGAAAGCGUGGGGAGCGAACAGG
This 253-nucleotide ribosomal RNA is filed under the name uncultured bacterium. RNAcentral's name for it is "partial 16S ribosomal RNA". It matches the Rfam family "Bacterial small subunit ribosomal RNA", at positions 524 to 776 of the family's 1533-position model. The record is from RNAcentral.